UACAGAGGGUGCGAGCGUUAAUCGGAAUUACUGGGCGUAAAGCGUGCGUAGCCGGUCAAGUAAGUCGGGUGUGAAAGCCCCGGGCUCAACCUGGGAAUUGCAUUCGAGACUGCGUGGCUAGGGUGCGGAAGAGGGAAGCGGAAUUUCCGGUGUAGCGGUGAAAUGCGUAGAUAUCGGAAGGAACACCAGUGGCGAAAGCGGCUUCCUGGUCCAGCACCGACGUUCAGGCACGAAAGCGUGGGGAGCAAACAGG
This 253-nucleotide ribosomal RNA is filed under the name uncultured bacterium. RNAcentral describes it as "partial 16S ribosomal RNA". It matches the Rfam family "Bacterial small subunit ribosomal RNA", at positions 524 to 776 of the family's 1533-position model. The record is from RNAcentral.